GGCUAACUUACCAGACCCUCGAGAAGACCUCCACGACUUCGAGAUGGGGCUAACUUACCAGACCCCAGCAAAGCUCGAAUCAUGCGAGAAGCAGAUGGAGACUCUUAGAGAAUCUCCGAAGGGCUAACUUAUCAGAUCCUCGAGAAGAUCUUGACGACUUUGAGGCAGGGCUAACUUAUCAGACCCUAAUAAAGCCCGAGUCAUGUAGAAAGUGGAGGAAGACCUUUAAAAAAUUUUCGGAGGAAUAACUAAUCAAACCCUCAGAAUACUGUCGAGUGCGUAAGAUGCUAUAGGCACAAGCUCGCCGCUGGCACACACUGUCUUUAAUGUGAAGACAAGAAAUACUAGAUGCCGUAGGCAUAAGAUCGCCGCA
RNAcentral lists this long non-coding RNA (373 nucleotides) under Elaeis guineensis (African oil palm). Its description in RNAcentral is "long non-coding RNA (EGUI_LNC026856)". Lineage: Eukaryota; Viridiplantae; Streptophyta; Magnoliopsida; Arecales; Arecaceae. The record is from RNAcentral.